GGCGGGCCUAAACAUGCAAGUCGAAGCGGUAGAGAGAAGCUUGCUUCUCUUGAGAGCGGCGGACGGGUGAGUAAUGCCUAGGAAUCUGCCUGGUAGUGGGGGAUAACGUUCGGAAACGAACGCUAAUACCGCAUACGUCCUACGGGAGAAAGCAGGGGACCUUCGGGCCUUGCGCUAUCAGAUGAGCCUAGGUCGGAUUAGCUAGUUGGUGAGGUAAUGGCUCACCAAGGCGACGAUCCGUAACUGGUCUGAGAGGAUGAUCAGUCACACUGGAACUGAGACACGGUCCAGACUCCUACGGGAGGCAGCAGUGGGGAAUAUUGGACAAUGGGCGAAAGCCUGAUCCAGCCAUGCCGCGUGUGUGAAGAAGGUCUUCGGAUUGUAAAGCACUUUAAGUUGGGAGGAAGGGCAUUAACCUAAUACGUUAGUGUUUUGACGUUACCGACAGAAUAAGCACCGGCUAACUCUGUGCCAGCAGCCGCGGUAAUACAGAGGGUGCAAGCGUUAAUCGGAAUUACUGGGCGUAAAGCGCGCGUAGG
RNAcentral lists this ribosomal RNA (539 nucleotides) under Pseudomonas fluorescens. Its description in RNAcentral is "bacterial SSU rRNA". It matches the Rfam family "Bacterial small subunit ribosomal RNA", at positions 41 to 575 of the family's 1533-position model. Lineage: Bacteria; Pseudomonadati; Pseudomonadota; Gammaproteobacteria; Pseudomonadales; Pseudomonadaceae. The record is from RNAcentral.